Molecule: ribosomal RNA, 385 nt
Filed under: uncultured bacterium
Lineage: Bacteria
Description: partial 16S ribosomal RNA
Rfam family: Bacterial small subunit ribosomal RNA
Source: RNAcentral
UAGGGAAUCUUCCACAAUGGGCGAAAGCCUGAUGGAGCAACGCCGCGUGUGUGAUGAAGGGUUUCGGCUCGUAAAACACUGUUGUAAGAGAAGAAUGACAUUGAGAGUAACUGUUCAAUGUGUGACGGUAUCUUACCAGAAAGGGAACGGCUAAAUACGUGCCAGCAGCCGCGGUAAUACGUAUGUUCCAAGCGUUAUCCGGAUUUAUUGGGCGUAAAGCGAGCGCAGACGGUUAUUUAAGUCUGAAGUGAAAGCCCUCAGCUCAACUAGGAAUUGCUUUGGAAACUGGAUGACUUGAGUGCAGUAGAGGAAAGUGGAACUCCAUGUGUAGCGGUGAAAUGCGUAGAUAUAUGGAAGAACACCAGUGGCGAAGGCGGCUUUCUGG